Molecule: RNA transcript, 2838 nt
Organism: Lycium ferocissimum
Lineage: Eukaryota; Viridiplantae; Streptophyta; Magnoliopsida; Solanales; Solanaceae
Exons: 6
Source: RefSeq, a predicted model, not a curated record
UCUCACAGCGCUCUCCCUUAAAAUUCAAAUUAGGUCUGUGUCCCUAUACCAAUCUUUGCUCUUUCCAGUGGAGUUCCCAUUUCCAAUCACUUGCACCAAUGUCAGUUAACGCAUUAAUGUACAAUGACCUGUUUUCUUCACUUGUUUCUGACAUUAAAUCCUACAAUGGAAAAGACCCUCUUCUCCCUUGGCUCCGAGGAAUAAAGAAAAUGAAAGAGUCAGUUCCACCACAGCUGCUUAAGGAGAAACUACCAAGAUUUCUUCAGAAAUGUGCACAGACUUUUGAGAAAGAUCGUCGUUAUGCUAAUGAUAUGCGUUAUCUUCGUGUCUGGUUGCAACUGAUGGACUAUGUGAAUGACCCAAAAGCGGUACUAAAAACCAUGGAGUCGAAUCGUAUCGGGAUGAAAAAGUCUAUGUUUUACCAAGCAUAUGCUCUUUAUUAUGAAAAGAUUAAAAAGUUUGAGGCUGCGGAGAAGAUGUACCAUUUGGGCGUGCAGAAGCUUGCUGAGCCACUUGAUGAGUUACAUAAGUCAUAUGAGCAGUUCCUUCAUCGCAUGGAGAAGCGUAAGAAUAAGAGGAUACAGCGCCAGGAAGGAAACAAUGAAAUAUGUUCUCUUGGUGGUGAAAACAUUACUUUGAAGAACAAUGAGAUUAAGGAAAAUAAUGAGAAUUUAAGUGGAAAUAUCAACAAUUCUGUCAUCACCAGGGAUCAGUUAACUAAUGCACAAUCCAAGUAUUUAAAUAUGAAAAAUGAGGUUGCCAUUUCACAGGGCUCCAGGAGAGAGUCACAAAUGAACGAAGCUACUCAUGGUGGUCCAGCUCUUCAGAAGGAACUCAGGGGUGAUCUCAGUCGAAAGUUUACUGGUGAAGACACAGUUGUAGUUAAAUUUGUAGGUAAUGCCAUUGUUGGGAAGUCUGAUGUCGAAGAUGCACGACAUCAUGGUCUGGUGGAACCUACCAUUAAUACAAAGGAGGCCAUACAUGCAAUUAAUAGCAUGUUUCGGGAGCCAUUAGAGCCAUCUCUUGCUGGCAAACAUUCACAUAGAAACCAGCCAAAAGUUAAUCAUAGACUAGACAAUGGUUUUGAGGUAUUUAUAGAUGAAAACACUGAUAGUGCUGUUCGAUCUUCUCACCAAACCUCGGCAAAUGGUUCAUCAGUGCCACAAACCUCUAGAGUUGAAACUCAAGAGCCCAUGCAGGAGCCAUUUCAGAUAUAUAUUGAUGAUGACACCAAUGAUGUGAUGGAGGGAGUUCAUGAGCUGCAUAAAUUAGAUAUGGGUAACUCUAACAAUUUGACUGGAUGUACUAUUGAAGAUGGGGUUGUGAAAGGCUUUGUUUUUCCAAGUCCAACUGAUGUUACAUCAGAAUGUUCUAGAGAUCCAAAUGUUGAAAGGCCUCCUCAACCAAGACUCCGUAGGGAGGACACAGUUGUAUACAAAUUUGUUGGGUCGACCAUUUCAGAAGAAUCAGAGGUCGAAAAUGUUUGCCAUCAUGGCCUUGUAGAACCAACAAUUAACUUGAAGGAGGCUAUGGAUGAUAUUAAUAGCAUGUUUGGAAAGCCAAUUGAGUUUACAAGGAAAAGCAAAUCGAAGAAACAGGGAUUAGCACCGAAGAUGGAGAGAGGUUGCAGUGGGUUCCUUAUACUUCCAGAUGAUGAGCCUCGCCAUCAACCUAAGAGUUCCUUGCCAACUUCGUCGUCAAGAAGGGAUAAUGAUUUGUUUGAGAAAACUGCGUGCACAAAGGAGGCAAUGGAUGAGAUAAAUAAAAUGUUUGCGAUGCCAUUGGAUUUCUAAGAUGCUGGUAAAGUCUUCUUUAUUUUCUCUUAAAAUAUAUAUAGAGUUUUGAGUUUGUUGACUGGUUUCGUUUUCAUUUGCGUCCUGCCUAAAUUUUGAGAUGUGUGAGAUGGAGGUUGAAAGGUUGAGAUUUCGCGGUUCACACUUAUAGAUUGAUGGAUAGAUGUGUGUGUGUGUGUGUGGGGGGGGGGGGAGGAAGGAACGGAUGGAGGGAGGUUGUAAUAUGGAGUAAUCAAUUAUGAAAUGGAAUGAGAGCAAAAUGUUGCUGCAAUGUGAAGAAUGUUGCAUAAUUCAGCAUAUGGUUACAGAGAAAAUUAUACUCCAAGACUGGUGAAAGCAUAAAACCAGUAAAAAGAUCAAAACAUAAAAGUACAUGGUGGAAAUCAAUUAAUAUUCUGGUUUAGGUGGGCAGUAAGCUGGUCGGAAAGCGAAGGGGCCUGCAGCAUAAAUCACAGCCUCAUAGUUACUUCGCCUCAGUGUUUUGUCUAAAAAUCGGAGUGGAGCACCAGUGAUUCCAUAGUUGACAUUAGUGAACACAUCGCAGUUUUUGAGAGGAGAGUCAACCAGUUUUACGCGGCAUGAAUGUAGAGGAUGGUCAAGAUAAGAAUUCCCCAUUUUGAAUCCUUCCAGCGGUGCGAAUAGAUAAUACUAACUUUAGCUGCUGCAAUGGGCUUAGCUCCUGAAAGAGACCAUGAUCCAUAGUUAUCACAGCUCUGGCAGUAGACCAUGCCUUCAACCACCACUUGGGAAGUCUUCUCUGUAGACUUGGCUGGCGCUUUGCCAUAGGCGGUUAUCAGUGGAAAGGCUACUGCAAGGAGCAACGAAGCGAUCAGGACAAGUUGGCUGCUUGCCAUCUUCUUGAAAAGAUGUUAUGGAGCUUAUGUCAACUUUGGGAUGUUAUUCUGUUUUGAUGUUAAGUUCAUUUGAGUUGAUUCCUAUAUAUAGUUCUUGGCAUGGGUUUGUCUGUAUGCUCUGAAUGUUGUCAAAGACUUGAAUGCUACUACCACAUUUGUGGAAUGCAUAUAGAUCCUCAGUUAUUUUCAGA